GAAGGUGUGUCGUGAGGCAUGCUGGAGGUAUCAGAAGUGCGAAUGCUGACAUAAGUAACGAUAAAGCGGGUGAAAAGCCCGCUCGCCGGAAGACCAAGGGUUCCUGUCCAACGUUAAUCGGGGCAGGGUGAGUCGACCCCUAAGGCGAGGCCGAAAGGCGUAGUCGAUGGGAAACGGGUUAAUAUUCCCGUACUUGGUGUUACUGCGAAGGGGGGACGGAGAAGGCUAUGUUGGCCGGGCGACGGUUGUCCCGGUUUAAGCGUGUAGGUGUGUGUUCCAGGUAAAUCCGGUUCACUUUAACACUGAGGCGUGACGACGAGGCACUACGGUGCUGAAGCAACAAAUGCCCUGCUUCCAGGAAAAGCCUCUAAGCAUCAGGUAACAUCAAAUCGUACCCCAAACCGACACAGGUGGUCAGGUAGAGAAUACCAAGGCGCUUGAGAGAACUCGGGUGAAGGAACUAGGCAAAAUGGUGCCGUAACUUCGGGAGAAGGCACGCUGACACGUAGGUGAAGUGAUUUACUCAUGGAGCUGAAGUCAGUCGAAGAUACCAGCUGGCUGCAACUGUUUAUUAAAAACACAGCACUGUGCAAACACGAAAGUGGACGUAUACGGUGUGACGCCUGCCCGGUGCCGGAAGGUUAAUUGAUGGGGUCAGCGCAAGCGAAGCUCCUGAUCGAAGCCCCGGUAAACGGCGGCCGUAACUAUAACGGUCCUAAGGUAGCGAAAUUCCUUGUCGGGUAAGUUCCGACCUGCACGAAUGGCGUAAUGAUGGCCAGGCUGUCUCCACCCGAGACUCAGUGAAAUUGAACUCGCUGUGAAGAUGCAGUGUACCCGCGGCAAGACGGAAAGACCCCGUGAACCUUUACUAUAGCUUGACACUGAACAUUGAGCCUUGAUGUGUAGGAUAGGUGGGAGGCUUUGAAGUGUGGACGCCAGUCUGCAUGGAGCCGACCUUGAAAUACCACCCUUUAAUGUUUGAUGUUCUAACGUGGACCCGUUACCCGGGUUGCGGACAGUGUCUGGUGGGUAGUUUGACUGGGGCGGUCUCCUCCUAAAGAGUAACGGAGGAGCACGAAGGUUGGCUAAUCCUGGUCG
RNAcentral lists this ribosomal RNA (1098 nucleotides) under Salmonella enterica. RNAcentral describes it as "partial 23S ribosomal RNA". It matches the Rfam family "Bacterial large subunit ribosomal RNA", at positions 1252 to 2333 of the family's 2925-position model. The record is from RNAcentral. Lineage: Bacteria; Pseudomonadati; Pseudomonadota; Gammaproteobacteria; Enterobacterales; Enterobacteriaceae.